CCUCACAUGUUAAGUGGCAAUGGAGUCGCAAGCAAACAGAGUGACAGUGUAGUUGCAAAACUUUUGCCACUAGGAUACAACUACACUGUUUACCCGUAGUCACAAUUAUCUGUAACUAAUGAAAGACUACAGUAUAUAUAUAAUUAUUAAAUUUUAUAUAAAAAUUAAAAUAAUAAUUUUUGAAUUGAUUUAUGACAAUGUAUAAUUAAAACUUCAAAAAUAUAUAAACAUUAAUCGUUAAAAUCUGCUUUAGAUAUUAAAAAGCUUAAAAUCUAUACAACUAAUAGAAUUGAUGGUAAUCACUAAUCAGCAUCUAGUCGUCUCUUGUUCUUCAAUCUUGUGUUGAUGAGCUUGUAGUUGUUCUUGCAUUUCUUCAAAUGUUUGUGCUUGUCUGGAUAAUAACCGGAGAUGCAGUGGCGGAGUCAAAGAUCUGGACAAGAAACGCAUCGGCAGAGUUGUAGAGUUUGACCGGAAAUGCAGCGGCGGAAUUGUAGAGCUCCGGAAAUGCAGCGGCGGAGUCCUAGAGCUUGCUCUGAGAUGGCAUCGAGACAGGUCCAAGAUGCAGCAGUGGGUCAGCAAGACGCCUUGACAGAAAACCAGGAGGGGGUAACAAGUCUCGUCCGACGGUGAGAUUGAGCUGCCGUUGUGACGGUGGGAUUAAUGUAUAACGUCAUCGUUCUCCCUCCGCUAGUUAAACAGAUCUGUCCAAAACAAAAAAGAUUGAGUUAUUAUAAACAAAUUUUGAAUUGAUUAGGACUAGAAGUAAACUACAUUGCUGAGGAAGCUAAGACGGGUGACAAAGAGAGAAGAUAAAGAUCUUUGAGAAAAAAAAAUUAAUGUUGCAGUCUUGCAGAGAAGGAAGAGAAAAAGG
This 871-nucleotide long non-coding RNA is filed under the name Brassica rapa (field mustard). RNAcentral's name for it is "long non-coding RNA (BRAP_LNC006414)". The record is from RNAcentral. Lineage: Eukaryota; Viridiplantae; Streptophyta; Magnoliopsida; Brassicales; Brassicaceae.